Molecule: transfer RNA, 74 nt
Filed under: Omnitrophica WOR_2 bacterium RIFCSPHIGHO2_02_FULL_67_20
Lineage: Bacteria; Pseudomonadati; Candidatus Omnitrophota
Description: tRNA-Trp
Rfam family: tRNA
About the family: Transfer RNA (tRNA) molecules are approximately 80 nucleotides in length.
Source: RNAcentral
AGGAGCGUCGGUUAAUGGUAAACCACCGGUCUCCAAAACCGGAACUGCAGGUUCGAUUCCUGCCGCUCCUGCCA